CCUACGGGGGGCAGCAGUGAGGAAUAUUGGUCAAUGGACGCGAGUCUGAACCAGCCAAGUAGCGUGAAGGAUGACUGCCCUACGGGUUGUAAACUUCUUUUAUAUGGGAAUAAAGUGUUCCACGUGUGGGAUUUUGUAUGUAUCUUAUGAAUAAGGAUCGGCUAACUCCGUGCCAGCAGCCGCGGUAAUACGGAGGAUCCGAGCGUUAUCCGGAUUUAUUGGGUUUAAAGGGAGCGUAGGUGGGUUGUUAAGUCAGUUGUGAAAGUUUGCGGCUCAACCGUAAAAUUGCAAUUGAUACUGGCAGUCUUGAGUACAGUUGAGGUGGGCGGAAUUCGUGGUGUAGCGGUGAAAUGCUUAGAUAUCACGAAGAACUCCGAUUGCGAAGGCAGUUCACUAAACUGCCACUGACACUGAGGCUCGAAAGUGUGGGUAUCAAACAGGAUUAGAUACCCUUGUAGUC
Molecule: ribosomal RNA, 460 nt
Filed under: uncultured bacterium
Lineage: Bacteria
Description: partial 16S ribosomal RNA
Rfam family: Bacterial small subunit ribosomal RNA
Source: RNAcentral